AUGGCGCGUCGCAGGACCCGUGCUAGCCACGGGGGCCGCGGGCCCGGGGAUGGGGGGUGGGGGCGAGGCCCGCGCCUCUCACUCCCCAACGACACCACCGCCACCACGAGGUUUUUCUCCCUGCCCCUUCGCUUUUCGCUUGGGGGCGGGGCCCGCACGCCUCUGCGGACGCUUGGCUUUUUCUCGGUGCCGCGGCUUAGGGCCGCAAAAGGGAGCGGCGGGCAGAAAGCCCUCACACCCCCAGAAAAUACGGAGGAGACCGGGCGGGCAGACCCCCACGCUCUGCGCCCCGCACGCCUACAAGCGAAAGAAAACGAAGCGGGGACCCCGUUCGCAACCCAGCCCGCCGGGCCACGGUGGCUCGGUCCGCACCGGCCACGACAACUGAGGAAGGGCGAGGCGCCGCCGCCUCGCCCGCGCCAUCUCUCUCUCUCUCGGCCCGGGGGCAUUUUUCCCCGUCGCGUUCGGGUGUCCGCACGCGGGCGGGGCCGGCCACCGCGGCCGGCCGCCGCCCCUGAAACAAAUUCCGCCCGCAAAAGCGCGGGUCCCCGGCUUAAGGCCGAGGAAGGGGGAACGAGGGCCACAACAACUCGGGGCGGGGGACAACCCGGUCUUCGGGGACGGGCCGGGGGUGGGGUGGUAAAGCCUCGAACGAAGCUCGAGCAACGGUUAGACAGAGGCGCCCCCGGCCGACGUCUGCCCCCGGCUGCCGGGCCCACACCGUGGCCCCACCGAGACCGGCAGCCGAAAAACAAAAAAAAAAACUGCACCCCGCCGAGGGGGGCCCCCCGGCUUAAGGCCGAGCACAUAAGGGACGAGGCGCCGCCGCCUCGCCCGCCAGCCACCGGCAUUCGCUUCCCCGCCCCAGGGCUGGGGCGGGGGGGAGGGAGGCGGGACUGGACCGGAAUCGGCAGCAGCACGACCAGAGCGGGGGGGACCCGCCUGCGGCAGGGAGGCGGGACUGGACCGGAAUCGGCAGCAGCACGACCAGAGCGGGGGGGACCCGCCUGCGGCUUCUCUGCCUCCUCCACGCCCUUCCCUUCUCGCCUCGGCCGCCCGCGCGGCAACACUCUCUCUGGGCAAGCAGCACACGCUUCCUCGGCAUCACGACAAGCUGGCCCCCCACCAUCGGCACGAUGGGUAGCACGGGGAAGCGGGACGAGCCCCGCGACUCGGUCCCGCCGAGGCGGCAACACUCCCCCUUCUCUCUCUGGGCAAGCAGCGGCAACGACGCCUCCUCGGCCUGGCAAACAAAGCUGCCCCACCGGCACGAUGGGUAGCACGGGAAGCGGGACGAGCCCCGCGACUCGGUCCCGCCGAGGCGGCACACUCUCGGUUUCUCUCUCGGGCCUCCCUUGCCGGCGGCUCUCCCCUUCGUUUCUCUCUGAGCUCAGCGCCGGCGACCGGCCGGGCGGCCGGCCCGUAGCUUCGCCUCCGGAGGACACAGGCACGGUAGCAGCCUGGGGGAGACGACCCGUUACCUCGCUC
RNAcentral lists this long non-coding RNA (1488 nucleotides) under Cyanistes caeruleus (blue tit). RNAcentral's name for it is "lncRNA (ENSCCEG00000005409.1)". The record is from RNAcentral. Lineage: Eukaryota; Metazoa; Chordata; Aves; Passeriformes; Paridae.